ACUGCUCAGUAACACGUGGACAACCUGCCCUUAGGUUGGGUAUAAACCCGGGAAACUGGGUAUAAUACCCGAUAGGUCUCGAUUGCUGGAAUGCAUCGAGAUUUAAAGCUCCGGCGCCUAAGGAUGGGUCUGCGGCCUAUCAGGUAGUAGUGGGUGUAGCGUACCUACUAGCCUACGACGGGUACGGGUUGUGAGAGCAAGAGCCCGGAGAUGGAUUCUGAGACACGAAUCCAGGCCCUACGGGGUGCAGCAGGCGCGAAAACUUUACAAUGCUGGCAACAGCGAUAAGGGAACCUCGAGUGCCAGGUUACAAAUCUGGCUGUCGAGAUGCCUAAAAAGCAUUUCAUAGCAAGGGCCGGGCAAGACCGGUGCCAGCCGCCGCGGUAACACCGGCGGCUCGAGUGGUAACCGUUAUUAUUGGGUCUAAAGGGUCUGUAGCCGGCCGGAUAAGUCUCUUGAGAAAUCUGGCAGCUUAACUGUCAGGCUUUCAGGAGAUACUGUCUGGCUCGAGGCCGGGAGAGGUGAGAGGUACUUCAGGGGUAGGGGUGAAAUCUUGUAAUCCUUGAAGGACCACCAGUGGCGAAGGCGUCUCACCAGAACGGACCUGACGGCAAGGGACGAAAGCUAGGGGCACGAACCGGAUUAGAUACCCGGGUAGUCCUAGCCGUAAACGAUACUCGCUAGGUGUCGGCCACGGUGCGACCGUUGUCGGUGCCGUAGGGAAGCCGUGAAGCGAGCCACCUGUGAAGUACGGCCGCAAGGCUGAAACUUAAAGGAAUUGGCGGGGGAGCAC
RNAcentral lists this ribosomal RNA (793 nucleotides) under uncultured archaeon. Its description in RNAcentral is "bacterial SSU rRNA". It matches the Rfam family "Archaeal small subunit ribosomal RNA", at positions 85 to 879 of the family's 1478-position model. The record is from RNAcentral.